UUCGCCAGGGAACAACGAGCCCCAGCUUAAAACCCAAAGGACUUGGCGGUGCUUUAGACCCCCCUAGAGGAGCCUGUUCUAGAAUCGAUACUCCCCGUUCAACCUCACCCUCUCUUGUUUUUCCCGCCUAUAUACCGCCGUCGUCAGCUUACCCUGUGAAGGUUGAAUAGUAAGCAAAAUUGGCACAGCCCAAAACGUCAGGUCAAGGUGUAGCGCACGAGAGGGGAAGAAAUGGGCUACAUUUACUGAAACAGUAAAAACGAACUCUGCACUGAAACGUGCACCUGAAGGAGGAUUUAGCAGUAAGAGGAGAGUAGAGCGCCCCUCUGAAAACGGCCCUGAAGCGCGCACACACCGCCCGUCACUCUCCCCAAAAAAAACUAAAAAAUAAAUAAUACACCCACUAAAAAUAAAGGGGAGGCAAGUCGUAACAUGGUAAGUGUACCGGAAGGUGCACUUGGAAAAACC
Molecule: ribosomal RNA, 468 nt
Filed under: Parrella lucretiae (Lucretia's goby)
Lineage: Eukaryota; Metazoa; Chordata; Actinopteri; Gobiiformes; Gobiidae
Description: partial 12S ribosomal RNA
Rfam family: Bacterial small subunit ribosomal RNA
Source: RNAcentral